CGAACGCUGGCGGCGUGCUUAACACAUGCAAGUCGAACGGAAAGGCCCUGCUUUUGUGGGGUGCUCGAGUGGCGAACGGGUGAGUAACACGUGAGUAACCUGCCCUUGACUUUGGGAUAACUUCAGGAAACUGGGGCUAAUACCGGAUAGGAGCUCCUGCUGCAUGGUGGGGGUUGGAAAGUUUCGGCGGUUGGGGAUGGACUCGCGGCUUAUCAGCUUGUUGGUGGGGUAGUGGCUUACCAAGGCUUUGACGGGUAGCCGGCCUGAGAGGGUGACCGGCCACAUUGGGACUGAGAUACGGCCCAGACUCCUACGGGAGGCAGCAGUGGGGAAUAUUGCACAAUGGGCGGAAGCCUGAUGCAGCAACGCCGCGUGCGGGAUGACGGCCUUCGGGUUGUAAACCGCUUUCGCCUGUGACGAAGCGUGAGUGACGGUAAUGGGUAAAGAAGCACCGGCUAACUACGUGCCAGCAGCCGCGGUGAUACGUAGGGUGCGAGCGUUGUCCGGAUUUAUUGGGCGUAAAGGGCUCGUAGGUGGUUGAUCGCGUCGGAAGUGUAAUCUUGGGGCUUAACCCUGAGCGUGCUUUCGAUACGGGUUGACUUGAGGAAGGUAGGGGAGAAUGAAAUUCCUGGUGGAGCGGUGGAAUGCGCAGAUAUCAGGAGGAACACCAGUGGCGAAGGCGGUUCUCUGGGCCUUUCCUGACGCUGAGGAGCGAAAGCGUGGGGAGCGAACAGGCUUAGAUACCCUGGUAGUCCACGCUGUAAACGGUGGGUACUAGGUGUGGGGUCCAUUCCACGGGUUCCGUGCCGUAGCUAACGCUUUAAGUACCCCGCCUGGGGAGUACGGCCGCAAGGCUAAAACUCAAAGGAAUUGACGGGGCCCCGCACAAGCGGCGGAGCAUGCGGAUUAAUUCGAUGCAACGCGUAGAACCUUACCUGGGUUUGACAUGGAUCGGGAGUGCUCAGAGAUGGGUGUGCCUCUUUUGGGGUCGGUUCACAGGUGGUGCAUGGCUGUCGUCAGCUCGUGUCGUGAGAUGUUGGGUUAAGUCCCGCAACGAGCGCAACCCUUGUUCACUGUUGCCAGCACGUUAUGGUGGGGACUCAGUGGAGACCGCCGGGGUCAACUCGGAGGAAGGUGGGGAUGACGUCAAGUCAUCAUGCCCCUUAUGUCCAGGGCUUCACGCAUGCUACAAUGGCUGGUACAGAGAGUGGCGAGCCUGUGAGGGUGAGCGAAUCUCGGAAAGCCGGUCUCAGUUCGGAUUGGGGUCUGCAACUCGACCUCAUGAAGUCGGAGUCGCUAGUAAUCGCAGAUCAGCAACGCUGCGGUGAAUACGUUCCCGGG
RNAcentral lists this ribosomal RNA (1341 nucleotides) under uncultured bacterium. RNAcentral's name for it is "16S ribosomal RNA". It matches the Rfam family "Bacterial small subunit ribosomal RNA", at positions 30 to 1378 of the family's 1533-position model. The record is from RNAcentral.